GAUGAACGCUGGCGGCGUGCCUAAUACAUGCAAGUCGAGCGAACAGAUAAGGAGCUUGCUCCUUUGACGUUAGCGGCGGACGGGUGAGUAACACGUGGGUAACCUACCUAUAAGACUGGGAUAACUUCGGGAAACCGGAGCUAAUACCGGAUAACAUUUGGAACCGCAUGGUUCUAAAGUGAAAGAUGGUUUUGCUAUCACUUAUAGAUGGACCCGCGCCGUAUUAGCUAGUUGGUAAGGUAACGGCUUACCAAGGCAACGAUACGUAGCCGACCUGAGAGGGUGAUCGGCCACACUGGAACUGAGACACGGUCCAGACUCCUACGGGAGGCAGCAGUAGGGAAUCUUCCGCAAUGGGCGAAAGCCUGACGGAGCAACGCCGCGUGAGUGAUGAAGGGUUUCGGCUCGUAAAACUCUGUUAUUAGGGAAGAACAAGUGUGUAAGUAACUGUGCACGUCUUGACGGUACCUAAUCAGAAAGCCACGGCUAACUACGUG
Molecule: ribosomal RNA, 497 nt
Filed under: uncultured bacterium
Lineage: Bacteria
Description: partial 16S ribosomal RNA
Rfam family: Bacterial small subunit ribosomal RNA
Source: RNAcentral